Molecule: ribosomal RNA, 459 nt
Filed under: uncultured bacterium
Lineage: Bacteria
Description: partial 16S ribosomal RNA
Rfam family: Bacterial small subunit ribosomal RNA
Source: RNAcentral
CCUACGGGUGGCAGCAGUGAGGAAUAUUGGUCAAUGGGCGCGAGCCUGAACCAGCCAAGUCGCGUGAGGGAAGACGGUCCUAUGGAUUGUAAACCUCUUUUGUCGGGGAGCAAAAGACGCCACGCGUGGCGUUCCGAGAGUACCCGAACAAACAGCAUCGGCUAACUCCGUGCCAGCAGCCGCGGUAAUACGGAGGAUGCGAGGGUUAUCCGGAUUUAUUGGGUUUAAAGGGUGGGCAGUGGGAAGAUCAAGUCAGCGGGAAAAUUGAGAGGCUAAACCUCGUCGAGCCGUUGAAACUGGUUUUCUUGAGUGAGCGAGAAGUAUGCGGAAUGCGUGGUGUAGCGGUGAAAUGCAUAGAUAUCACGAAGAACUCCGAUUGCGAAGGCAGCAUACCGGCGCUCAACUGACGCUCAUGCACGAAAGUGUGGGUAUCGAACAGGAUUAGAUACCCUAGUAGUC